Molecule: ribosomal RNA, 711 nt
Filed under: Chryseobacterium sp.
Lineage: Bacteria; Pseudomonadati; Bacteroidota; Flavobacteriia; Flavobacteriales; Weeksellaceae
Description: bacterial SSU rRNA
Rfam family: Bacterial small subunit ribosomal RNA
Source: RNAcentral
GGAUUUNGAUACCCUGGUAGUNCACGCCGUAAACGAUGCUAACUCGUUUUUGGGUUUUCGGAUUCAGAGACUAAGCGAAAGUGAUAAGUUAGCCACCUGGGGAGUACGUUCGCAAGAAUGAAACUCAAAGGAAUUGACGGGGGCCCGCACAAGCGGUGGAUUAUGUGGUUUAAUUCGAUGAUACGCGAGGAACCUUACCAAGGCUUAAAUGGGAAUUGAUCGGUUUAGAAAUAGACCUUCCUUCGGGCAAUUUUCAAGGUGCUGCAUGGUUGUCGUCAGCUCGUGCCGUGAGGUGUUAGGUUAAGUCCUGCAACGAGCGCAACCCCUGUUACUAGUUGCUACCAUUAAGUUGAGGACUCUAGUAAGACUGCCUACGCAAGUAGAGAGGAAGGUGGGGAUGACGUCAAAUCAUCACGGCCCUUACGCCUUGGGCCACACACGUAAUACAAUGGCAGGUACAGAGGGCAGCUACACAGCGAUGUGAUGCGAAUCUCGAAAGCCUGUCUCAGUUCGGAUUGGAGUCUGCAACUCGACUCUAUGAAGCUGGAAUCGCUAGUAAUCGCGCAUCAGCCAUGGCGCGGUGAAUACGUUCCCGGGCCUUGUACACACCGCCCGUCAAGCCAUGGAAGUCUGGGGUACCUGAAGUCGGUGACCGUAAAAGGAGCUGCCUAGGGUAAAACAGGUAACUAGGGCUAAGUCGUAACAAGGUAA